Non-coding RNA from Ascodesmis nigricans, 93 nucleotides. Lineage: Eukaryota; Fungi; Ascomycota; Pezizomycetes; Pezizales; Ascodesmidaceae. The record is from the annotation of a GenBank genome assembly.
GGUCGCGUGGCCCAAUGGCAAGGCGCUUGACUACGAUUCCAUCCUUGGAUUUCCGACAUCAAGAGAUUCUGGGUUCGAUCCCCAGCGUGACCU